GCAUCGGUGGCUCCGUGGUAGAAUUCUUACCUUCUAUGCAGGAGACCCAGGCUCAAUUCCUGGCCAAUGCA
RNAcentral lists this transfer RNA (71 nucleotides) under Loxodonta africana (African savanna elephant). It matches the Rfam family "tRNA". Rfam says of the family: Transfer RNA (tRNA) molecules are approximately 80 nucleotides in length. Their secondary structure includes four short double-helical elements and three loops (D, anti-codon, and T loops). Further hydrogen bonds mediate the characteristic L-shaped molecular structure. tRNAs have two regions of fundamental functional importance: the anti-codon, which is responsible for specific mRNA codon recognition, and the 3' end, to which the tRNAs corresponding amino acid is attached (by aminoacyl-tRNA synthetases). tRNAs cope with the degeneracy of the genetic code in two manners: having more than one tRNA (with a specific anti-codon) for a particular amino acid; and 'wobble' base-pairing, i.e. permitting non-standard base-pairing at the 3rd anti-codon position. Lineage: Eukaryota; Metazoa; Chordata; Mammalia; Proboscidea; Elephantidae. The record is from Rfam by way of RNAcentral.